This 72-nucleotide transfer RNA is filed under the name Camelus bactrianus (Bactrian camel). It matches the Rfam family "tRNA". From Rfam's summary of the family: Transfer RNA (tRNA) molecules are approximately 80 nucleotides in length. Their secondary structure includes four short double-helical elements and three loops (D, anti-codon, and T loops). RNAcentral also lists the same sequence under 2 other names. Lineage: Eukaryota; Metazoa; Chordata; Mammalia; Artiodactyla; Camelidae. The record is from Rfam by way of RNAcentral.
AAGGGUAUAACUCAGUGACAAAGUGCAUGCCUAGCAUCCAUGAGGUCCUGGGUUCAAUCCCCAGUACCUUUA